GAUCAAGCGUAAAAAGGGCAUUUGGGGGAUGCCUUGGCAGCAAGAGGCGAUGAAGGACGUAAUACCCUGCGAUAAGCUACGGGGAGCCGGGAAUAGGCUUUGAUCCGUAGAUCUCCGAAUGGGGCAACCCACCUAUCGUUGUUUUAUUGAAGACCUGUUCUUCAUUAGAACAACGAAUUAAGGUAUCAUAGACCUGAAUAUAUAGGGUUUAUGAGGCAAACCUGGGGAACUGAAACAUCUAAGUACCCAGAGGAAAGGACAUCAACCGAGACUCCGCUAGUAGUGGCGAGCGAACGCGGACCAGCCAAGUCAUGAGUUUUACUGGAACUGUGUUGGAAAACCAGAUCAGAGAGGGUGAAAAUCCCGUACAGGAAAAAACGAUUGACUGUAUCAAGUAGGGCGGGACACGUGAAAUCCUGUCUGAAGAUCGGGGGACCACCCUCGAAGGCUAAGUACUCCUUGCUGACCGAUAGUGAACAAGUACCGUGAGGGAAAGGUGAAAAGUACCCCUGUUAGGGGAGUGAAAUAGUACCUGAAACCGAAUGCCUACAAUCAGUCGGAGCCGACUUUGAUCGGUGACGGCGUACCUUUUGUAUAAUGGGUCAUCGACUUGGUCUUACGAGCAAGCUUAAGCCGAUAGGUGUAGGCGCAGCGAAAGCGAGUCUUAACAGGGCGUACAGUUCGUGGGAUCAGACCCGAAACCGAGUGAUCUAGGCAUGGACAGGCUGAAGGCAAGAUAACACUUGCUGGAGGGCCGAACCCACAUCUGUUGAAAUAGGUCGGGAUGAGCUGUGCCUAGGGGUGAAAGGCCAAUCAAACUCGGAGAUAGCUGGUUCUCCGCGAAAUCUAUUUAGGUAGAGCGUCGGACGAAUACCCCCGGGGGUAGAGCACUGGAUGGGUAAUGGGGCCCCACAGGCUUACUGAUCCUAACCAAACUCCGAAUACCGGGGAGUACUGUCCGGCAGUCACACUGCGGGUGCUAACGCCCGUAGUGGAGAGGGAAACAACCCUGACCGACAGCUAAGGCCCCUAAUUCGUGGCUAAGUGGGAAAGCAGGUGGGACGACCAAAACAACCAGGAGGUUGGCUUAGAAGCAGCCAUCCUUUAAAGAAAGCGUAACAGCUCACUGGUCUAAACAAGUUGUCCUGCGGCGAAGAUGUAACGGGGCUCAAGCCACGAGCCGAAGCUUCGGGUCGCGCAAGCGGCGGUAGCGGAGCGUUCUGUGACACGGGUAUGGCAUUGUCUUCGGAUUUCGGUCCGGAGACGUUUUUGCCUUAUCUGCUGAGAAGCCGGGCCGUGAGGUUGCCGGUGGAGCGAACAGAAGUGAGUAUGAUGACAUGAGUAGCGAUAAACAGAGUGAGAAACUCUGUCGCCGAAAGUCCAAGGGUUCCUGCUUAAAGCUAAUCUGAGCAGGGUAAGCCGGCCCCUAAGGCGAGGCCGAAAGGCGUAGUCGAUGGGAACCAGGUUAAUAUUCCUGGGCCUGGAGGAUGUGACGGAUCGCAAAGACUGUCCGACCUUAUUGGAUUGGUCGGGCUUUUCAGCGGUUCCAGGAAAUAGCCCUCCAUAAGACCGUACCCCAAACCGACACAGGUGGACCGGUAGAGUAUACCAAGGCGCUUGAGAGAACCACGUUGAAGGAACUCGGCAAAAUACCUCCGUAAGUUCGCGAGAAGGAGGCCCGGCUGGCAGGUUCGCCUGUUGGUCGGGGGCACAAACCAGGGGGUGGCGACUGUUUACUAAAAACACAGGGCUCUGCUAAGCCGCAAGGCGACGUAUAGGGUCUGACGCCUGCCCGGUGCCGGAAGGUUAAAAGGAGGUGUGCAAGCACCGAAUUGAAGCCCCGGUAAACGGCGGCCGUAACUAUAACGGUCCUAAGGUAGCGAAAUUCCUUGUCGGGUAAGUUCCGACCUGCACGAAUGGCGUAACGACUUCCCCGCUGUCUCCAACGUGGACUCAGCGAAAUUGAAUUGCCUGUCAAGAUGCAGGCUUCCCGCGGUUAGACGGAAAGACCCCGUGAACCUUUACUAUAGCUUCGCAUUGGCAUCAGGCUUGUGAUGUGCAGGAUAGGUGGUAGACAUUGAAGGUAGGACGCAAGUCCUGUUGGAGUCACCCUUGAGAUACCACCCUUGACAUUCUUGUUGUCUAACCGCGUUCCGUUAUCCGGAACCGGGACCGUGCGUGGUGGGUAGUUUGACUGGGGCGGUCACCUCCUAAAGAGUAACGGAGGUGUGCGAAGGUGGGCUCAGAGCGGUCGGAAAUCGCUCGUAGAGUGCAAUGGCAAAAGCCCGCUUGACUGCGAGACUGACAAGUCGAGCAGAGACGAAAGUCGGCCAUAGUGAUCCGGUGGUUCCGAGUGGAAGGGCCAUCGCUCAACGGAUAAAAGGUACUCCGGGGAUAACAGGCUAAUGGUGCCCAAGAGUUCAUAUCGACGGCACCGUUUGGCACCUCGAUGUCGGCUCAUCUCAUCCUGGGGCUGGAGCAGGUUCCAAGGGUAUGGCUGUUCGCCAUUUAAAGAGGUACGUGAGCUGGGUUUAGAACGUCGUGAGACAGUUCGGUCCCUAUCUGCCGUGGGUGUAGGAAACUUGAGAGGAGCUGUCCCUAGUACGAGAGGACCGGGAUGGACGCACCACUGGUGGAUCUGUUGUGGCGCCAGCCGCAGUGCAGAGUAGCUAUGUGCGGAACGGAUAACCGCUGAAAGCAUCUAAGCGGGAAGCCACCCUCAAAACAAGGUUUCCCUGAAGGACGGUGGGAGACUACCACAUGAUAGGCCGGAGGUGUAAGUGCAGCAAUGCAUUCAGCUGACCGGUACUAAUAGUCCGUUCGGCUUGAUUAU
RNAcentral lists this ribosomal RNA (2833 nucleotides) under Paracoccaceae bacterium. Its description in RNAcentral is "Rhodobacteraceae bacterium 23S ribosomal RNA". It matches the Rfam family "Bacterial large subunit ribosomal RNA". The record is from RNAcentral. Lineage: Bacteria; Pseudomonadati; Pseudomonadota; Alphaproteobacteria; Rhodobacterales; Paracoccaceae.